GCUGCCAAUCAGCAGCAGGGAUAUCAACACAAUCCUCAGCAGAUGCAGCAACAGCAACACCAGGCACUCCCUCAGCAAAUGCCUCCUUUGCCAAUGCCUCCAAAUAUGCAGCAGCUUCAGCCACCAUCACAUUUACCCAUGCUUCCUCAUCCCCAUCUACCUCGCCCUCCACAAGUGCCUCAUGGUAUGCCUUCACCAAUUCCAUCUUCUAUGCCAGGAUCCUUGCCUG
This 229-nucleotide unclassified non-coding RNA is filed under the name Hevea brasiliensis (rubber tree). Lineage: Eukaryota; Viridiplantae; Streptophyta; Magnoliopsida; Malpighiales; Euphorbiaceae. The record is from RNAcentral.